AGUGAACGCUGGCGGUAGGCCUAACACAUGCAAGUCGAACGGCAGCACAGUAAGAGCUUGCUCUUACGGGUGGCGAGUGGCGGACGGGUGAGGAAUACAUCGGAAUCUACUUUUUCGUGGGGGAUAACGUAGGGAAACUUACGCUAAUACCGCAUACGACCUACGGGUGAAAGCAGGGGAUCUUCGGACCUUGCGCGAUUGAAUGAGCCGAUGUCGGAUUAGCUAGUUGGCGGGGUAAAGGCCCACCAAGGCGACGAUCCGUAGCUGGUCUGAGAGGAUGAUCAGCCACACUGGAACUGAGACACGGGCCAGACUCCUACGGGAGGCAGCAGUGGGGAAUAUUGGACAAUGGGCGCAAGCCUGAUCCAGCCAUACCGCGUGUGUGAAGAAGGCCUUCGGGUUGUAAAGCCCUUUUGUUGGGAAAGAAAAGCAGCAGGUUAAUACCCCGCUGUUCUGACGGUACCCAAAGAAUAAGCACCGGCUAACUUCGUG
Molecule: ribosomal RNA, 492 nt
Filed under: uncultured bacterium
Lineage: Bacteria
Description: partial 16S ribosomal RNA
Rfam family: Bacterial small subunit ribosomal RNA
Source: RNAcentral